CCUACGGGAGGCAGCAGUGAGGAAUAUUGGUCAAUGGGCGAGAGCCUGAACCAGCCAAGUCGCGUGAAGGAUGACGGCCCUACGGGUUGUAAACUUCUUUUGUCAGGGAGCAAUUGGGUCCACGCGUGGGCUUAGCGAGAGUACCUGAAGAAAAAGCAUCGGCUAACUCCGUGCCAGCAGCCGCGGUAAUACGGAGGAUGCGAGCGUUAUCCGGAUUUAUUGGGUUUAAAGGGUGCGUAGGCGGAAUAUCAAGUCAGCGGUAAAAAUUCGGGGCUCAACCCCGUCGUGCCGUUGAAACUGAUGUUCUUGAGUGGGCGAGAAGUAUGCGGAAUGCGUGGUGUAGCGGUGAAAUGCUUAGAUAUCAGGAGGAACAUCGGUGGCGUAAGCGCUUUACUGGGCCGUAAUUGACGCUGAGGAACGAAAGCCAGGGUAGCAAAUGGGAUUAGAUACCCCUGUAGUC
This 460-nucleotide ribosomal RNA is filed under the name uncultured bacterium. RNAcentral's name for it is "partial 16S ribosomal RNA". It matches the Rfam family "Bacterial small subunit ribosomal RNA", at positions 338 to 795 of the family's 1533-position model. The record is from RNAcentral.